ACGACAGACAAUCUUGCCUUCGGCCUGGAGCACCGUAAUCGGUUAAGCUGACCCUCGAUGUUUGCUUUUGCUCGUAUUCGAAUCCAGUCUCAUAUUACAUUUACUUUCUUUUCCCUCGUAUUAGUAUAUUAGGUACUUCUUCUUAGUAAUCAUAAGAUUUUAUUUCAAAACACUCGGUUUAAGUCUGAAUUAAUUGGAUGGAGGCUCCUGGACUUAAACAUCGUUUAAAGAAUAUGUAAUUUUUAAUUAAGAGGAAUUUAUUUUACUAAAUUUUUUUAAGAAUAUCAAUUUUAAAUAUCAAAAAGUUGCUUGAACGCUUCGUCUGGUUUAAGUCUGGAUUAACCGGAAACUUUUGAUUGGGGACUAGGGAAUUUAUUCCUGAGUCUAAAGCAACUUGUUUAAUUAAGAAAUUUGCAUAAGAGACAAAAUACAAAUAUCUACAUCGUAAAAAUAUUAAAAUGUUUCAUCAUACCCAUUUAAGUUAUGCAUGCAAACUAAGAAUAAUCCGAAUUAAUUAACUGAAAAUAGCGCGAAAUUAGUGAACAAAGAAAGCUUACCUGCGAAUGUAUAUACUUCGUGUAUCUCUUGCUAUUGAUAACCGAAAUGAGCAAAAUAUUGGCAAAAAUGAUCCCAAAAGUUAAUGCUAGAAUAACCAGAGACUGUAGGGCGUCACCGACCGAAACUGUCGACAGCAAAGUGACAUUCUGGUAUCGGGGGUGGGUGCAACUGCUGUUUGACAAUGAUGGAGGUACCAAGGUGGUGGACUUGGUUACCAUCUUAUGGGUUAUGGUACCAUGCUUGAAAUGAGAGAGUCUCUAGAAAAAAAAAUAGUUAAUUAUAUUUUUUUUGCUUUUGAGUGGCUAAUGAAGUCUAAUAAGCUAUAGCCAGAUUUUUUAUUAAACAAAAUACGGUUUAUACCAUUUAAUUAUUUACUAAAAAAAAAAUGUUCAUACAUUUUUAACGUGAUUUUAAAAAGGAGAAAGGUACAGUAUAAAGGAGAAUCAAUUAUUCUUUAAAAGCUUCUAAAAAAGCUAAUAAAAGUACCUAUUUCCUUUAAAAAGUAAAAUGCAUUUUCUGUAAGCUUGGCCUGAAAGGAACUUUUUAUUCCCGAUAUUUUUCAAGAUCCGUCAUUUUAAAUAUCGGCAAGGUUUUUCAAUUUGGAGAAUCUAUUUGCGUCACUUUAUAGUUACGUCCCACCCGGAACGAUAAAAAACCCUUUUAAGAGAUAGAUAAAGUGCUUAUCACCAAUAAAUGAGGGAGAAACUAAUAAUUUAGACAACUCUUAAUAAAUUUUGUGGUUGCAUAGAUCCUGGAUACUAUUUAUAAAUACCUUAAGAUAUUGUAUUUCUUGCGGUCUACUUCCAAAACGUAUUGAUUCAGCUAUAUCCACUUUCUUUCUAGGUUAUAUGAGUGGGCCUCAUAAAAACCAUAACCUUAUAGUUUGUUAAGAUAUAUUGAAGGGCAAGAUUAUUUAAGCAUCAUGUACGAUUAGCCUCUGCAAGGGUGCCAUAUUACUUUAUUUAUUGAUCAAUCGAUUGUGCUCAAUCACAAAAUUUUCAAGAAUAUUUAAUGAUAGAGAGAACAUACCAUAUAAAGAACAACUAAUCAAGGUUAAAUUUCUAGUAGCCCAUAUUCAUUUGAUUUUACUUUUUUCUGCAGAAAAGUACUCUAUUGCUGAAACUGAAAUAUAGCUUUUUAACUUUCAACUACCUGGAAGAAAUAAGAACUUUUUUAUUGUAGUUGAGCCAAUAUUACUUAGAAGUAAGUUUUUAAUGCUUUAUUUAAUAUAAUAUAAAAGUGUUCGUGACCGUGAAUUUCACUAUUAUUUGAAAACUUAAGUUAUGAGCUGACCUAAACUUACUAGGCUUACCUGAAAGCACUUUGGUAAAUUAUUUUAGAAAUUUAAAGUUUUACCAAAAACAAUUUAGUUUUCCAAAAAGCUACUUUCUAAUAAACAAAAAAAGCAGCAACUGCCUAGAAGAAGUAGGAAAUUAUCCGCUUAAUUAGAGUCUUCAUAAGCUCAGCUAACUAAAAGAAAUUCAAUGUUUACUUAUAGUUUUGUAGGAAUGUUCCACAUGUUGGGCGCUAAAAUGUGUUUAAAUUCACUGAAGUAAAAUGUUGAUCACAAAUGACUGAUUAGUGAUGAAUGUUAUAUAAAUUAAUGUUAAAGCUGGAGAAACAUCAAGUGCCAAAUACACUUUCCAGAGAUAUAAAAAACUGUAGAACCUCACAGACUUUCCAGGAGUCUUAUGAAGUCAAUGUAUCCACGUCUUUUCCGAAUUAAAUGAGCAGUAAGAACAAUUUUUUUCAACUCCAGGUUUAUCGAGUACCAAAUAUAGAAUCAAUUCCAAGAAAUCUCUGAAGAUUGGAAGCACCUAUUUACUCCCAAGUUUUCAUCUUUAGAACAACUUUAUCCAGGAUUCCUAUGGAGACAAUUUUGGAUAAAACAAAUAAACUCACUUUUAGAAAUGUCAUAUUUAAAUAAAAUUUUUUAGAUAUA
Molecule: long non-coding RNA, 2500 nt
Filed under: Anthonomus grandis grandis
Lineage: Eukaryota; Metazoa; Arthropoda; Insecta; Coleoptera; Curculionidae
Description: uncharacterized LOC126735529
Source: RNAcentral